Molecule: long non-coding RNA, 1109 nt
Filed under: Marmota monax (woodchuck)
Lineage: Eukaryota; Metazoa; Chordata; Mammalia; Rodentia; Sciuridae
Source: RNAcentral
GUGAAUUGAAACCCAUCAAUUUCCUUGGUGUGAAUUUAAUACAUUUUUUCUGCUUUUUAGAAGUAUUAGGUCAAUAUUGAAAAUUAUUGGGUUAUAACACUAUAGUAUAACUUCUACUUUAGUGAUUAAUAUUGAGGAUGUGAUUAUAGCCAACACUGAGCUCAUGAGAAAGGCAAAAGAUGAACCAGUUUACUGAAUCUACCUGAAAAGUCUGAAUGUGGAUAAAUUAUCUUUAUUUUUACCUUAUUAGCUGAAAAAUGUUUAAAUCAGCAUUUAGUAUACUGUUCUUGUUGUAAAAAAGUUCAUUUUUACAUUUGGCUUAGCUUAUUUUCACUAAUAGUACUUUAUAAUGGAACACUUUAAUUUUAGAAUGUCUAUAAUGGAAAGAUGGAAAGAAGCCACACUUGUGGACAUGUGAAUUGAAAACUCAGAUUAUUUUGAAUAUUUUUGUAUUUUUAGCAAAAGAUUUUACCAGCUAGCUGACAUUGUAUGUUAUAAGAUGUUCUUUAGACACAGAUUUCUGGCCAAGGAGAAAGUUUAUUAUAUCAUAGUAAUCUUAUUUUGCAUCUCACAAUUAAUAACAGACACUUACCUUGGCAAUGAUAUAGUACAUAAUUAUAUUCAUAGUUGACUUACAAAAGUGGAUCAAUUAAUAACUUUAUGGCACAAGUACAAUUAAAUCCAUAAUUAAAAAUAAAGCUUAAUUCCACUUUGCCCUGGAGAACAUAUGUUUCCUAAUUGCAGUGUUCCAGAGAUCAUCCAGUAGGAAGGUGAGUGUGUGUGUGUCUAAAAGAAGAAAUAAGUGAAUAAUUACUGGAGGUAUUUAGAAUGUUUAUUCUGAAGUUUAGAAUACUUAGGGGAGAUAUUUCAGAUGUCUUAAAAUAUUUCAAAGUUCAUAAUUCAGAACAGGAACUAUACUUAUGUAUUGUUUCUCCAGGGGCCAGAAGUUACAGGAAGGAAAUUUUGAAUAAACAGAAGGAAGACCUUGCUCAUCGAAAUCUGUCCAAUUGUGAGACAGGUUAUCUUGUAAAACAGUGAGUGCCUCAUCACUAAAAAUAUUAAUGUCAAGGUCAGGCAACAGUGUCAUUGGUGGUAUAGAAAGCGUUUUU